AUUGAACGCUGGCGGCAUGCCUUACACAUGCAAGUCGAACGGCAGCGGGGGAGAAGCUUGCUUUUCCUGCCGGCGAGUGGCGAACGGGUGAGUAAUACAUCGGAACGUGCCCUGUAGUGGGGGAUAACUAGUCGAAAGAUUAGCUAAUACCGCAUACAACCUGAGGGUGAAAGUGGGGGACCGCAAGGCCUCAUGCUAUAGGGGCGGCCGAUGUCUGAUUAGCUAGUUGCUGGGGUAAAGGCCUACCAAGGCUACGAUCAGUAGCUGGUCUGAGAGGACGAGCAGCCACACUGGGACUGAGACACGGCCCAGACUCCUACGGGAGGCAGCAGUGGGGAAUUUUGGACAAUGGGCGAAAGCCUGAUCCAGCAAUGCCGCGUGUGUGAAGAAGGCCUUCGGGUUGUAAAGCACUUUUGUCCGGAAAGAAAUGGCUCUGGUUAAUACCUGGGGUCGAUGACGGUACCGGAAGAAUAAGGACCGGCUAACUACGUGCCAGCCGCCGCAGUAA
Molecule: ribosomal RNA, 508 nt
Filed under: uncultured bacterium
Lineage: Bacteria
Description: partial 16S ribosomal RNA
Rfam family: Bacterial small subunit ribosomal RNA
Source: RNAcentral